RNAcentral lists this long non-coding RNA (609 nucleotides) under Gallus gallus (chicken). RNAcentral's name for it is "lncRNA (ENSGALG00010000344.1)". Lineage: Eukaryota; Metazoa; Chordata; Aves; Galliformes; Phasianidae. The record is from RNAcentral.
GAGAGACUCGGGGGAGAAAGCGUUGUGCUUGAUGGCACGGUUUCCUUGGGCAAAGGAUGCUUUGGCAGCAGAGGUUUGCUGUCAGGAGGCAUGAAAGCACUGAAGCCAAUGCUGCCGUGCCCUGGGCCCAGAGACAUCAUCUCCCAGCACGUCCCUGGCGGUGGAUGUGUGCAAGCUCUGUGUCUGCCAGUGGUUGCUCCAAAGGCUUUGUGGUCAGCUGUGCGUGGCUGUUUUGCUCUUGAGGGCGUGGGAACAGAGGGCAACACGCUGAUGGGAGUGAUGGUGUCCUGCUCAGCAAUGGAUGUGCUGGGUGGCAGAAGAGGAUUCUUGGCCGAGCGUGGAAAAUCUCUCUGCUCCUUCCUGAAGGACGCAAUCUUCCACUUGGAAAGGGCCUCCCAAGGAUCCCUGGUAUCCUCUGAGAGCUCUGAGCUGCCGCACCAAUUUGAAGCUGACUUCAUUUUUGGUCUUCCCCUUCAGCAGAAAAGCUCAGACAGCCGAGCCAAGCGAGACGCUGGAUUUCCUUUGGCAUCAAGGAAAGCAUCGUGAGAUGUUCUGAUGCCCUCUCACAAUUCUUUCUCCCUCCGCCAGCACCAGAGCUGGCGUCCAAAG